This 253-nucleotide ribosomal RNA is filed under the name uncultured bacterium. RNAcentral describes it as "partial 16S ribosomal RNA". It matches the Rfam family "Bacterial small subunit ribosomal RNA", at positions 524 to 776 of the family's 1533-position model. The record is from RNAcentral.
UACGUAGGGUGCGAGCGUUAAUCGGAAUUACUGGGCGUAAAGCGUGCGUAUGCGGUUCGCUGUGUCCGAUGUGAAAGCCCCGGGCUUAACCUGGGAAUGGCAUUGGAAACUGGCGGGCUUGAGUGCGGCAGAGGGGGGUGGAAUUCCGCGUGUAGCAGUGAAAUGCGUAGAGAUGCGGAGGAACACCGAUGGCGAAGGCAGCCCCCUGGGUCGACACUGACGCUCAGGCACGAAAGCGUGGGGAGCAAACAGG